CCUACGGGAGGCUGCAGUGGGGAAUAUUGCACAAUGGGGGAAACCCUGAUGCAGCGACGCCGCGUGAGCGAUGAAGUAUUUCGGUAUGUAAAGCUCUAUCAGCAGGGAAGAAAAUGACGGUACCUGACUAAGAAGCCCCGGCUAACUACGUGCCAGCAGCCGCGGUAAUACGUAGGGGGCAAGCGUUAUCCGGAUUUACUGGGUGUAAAGGGAGCGUAGACGGCGGUGCAAGCCAGAUGUGAAAGCCCGGGGCUCAACCCCGGGACUGCAUUUGGAACUGUGCUGCUAGAGUGUCGGAGAGGCAGGCGGAAGUCCUAGUGUAGCGGUGAAAUGCGGAGAGAUUAGGAGGAAGACCAGUGGGGAAGGCGGCCUGCUGGACGAUGACUGAGGUGGAGGCUCGAAAGCGGGGGGAGCAAACAGGAUUAGAUACCCUGGUAGUG
RNAcentral lists this ribosomal RNA (440 nucleotides) under uncultured bacterium. Its description in RNAcentral is "partial 16S ribosomal RNA". It matches the Rfam family "Bacterial small subunit ribosomal RNA", at positions 338 to 795 of the family's 1533-position model. The record is from RNAcentral.